CGGUGUAGCGGUGAAAUGCGUAGAUAUCGGGAAGAACACCAGUGGCGAAGGCGCUCUGCUGGGCCAUCACUGACGCUCAUGGACGAAAGCCAGGGGAGCGAAAGGGAUUAGAUACCCCUGUAGUCCUGGCCGUAAACGAUGAACACUAGGUGUCGGGGGAAUCGACCCCCUCGGUGUCGUAGCCAACGCGUUAAGUGUUCCGCCUGGGGAGUACGCACGCAAGUGUGAAACUCAAAGGAAUUGACGGGGGCCCGCACAAGCGGUGGAGUAUGUGGUUUAAUUCGAUGCAACGCGAAGAACCUUACCAGGGUUUGACAUCCUGCGAAUCUCUUGGAAACAGGAGAGUGCCUUCGGGAACGCAGUGACAGGUGGUGCAUGGCUGUCGUCAGCUCGUGUCGUGAGAUGUUGGGUUAAGUCCCGCAACGAGCGCAACCCACGUCUUUAGUUGCCAGCAUUUAGUUGGGCACUCUAGAGAGACUGCCGGUGAUAAACCGGAGGAAGGUGUGGAUGACGUCAAGUCAUCAUGCCCCUUACAUCCUGGGCUACACACGUACUACAAUGCUACGGACAAAGGGCAGCAAGUUCGCGAGGACAAGCAAAUCCCAUAAACCGUGGCUCAGUUCAGAUCGUAGGCUGCAACUCGCCUACGUGAAGGCGGAAUCGCUAGUAAUCGCAGGUCAGCAUACUGCGGUGAAUACGUUCCCGGGCCUUGUACACACCGCCCGUCACACCAUGGAAGUUGGCCACGCCCGAAGCCGUUACUCCAACCCUUGUGGAGGAGGACGUCGAAGGUGGGGCUGAUGACUGGGGUGAAGUCGUAACAAGGUAACCGUAG
RNAcentral lists this ribosomal RNA (835 nucleotides) under uncultured bacterium. RNAcentral's name for it is "bacterial SSU rRNA". It matches the Rfam family "Bacterial small subunit ribosomal RNA", at positions 671 to 1505 of the family's 1533-position model. The record is from RNAcentral.